GAGUUUGAUUCUGGCUCAGGAUGAACGCUGGCGGCAUGCCUAACACAUGCAAGUUGAACGAGAAGUUCUGGAGGGAGUCUUCGGACGAACGAAGGAAUGGAAAGUAGCGAACGGGUGAGUAACGCGUGGGCAACCAACUUUACACAGGGGGAUAACGCAGAGAAAUUUGCGCUAAUACCGCAUAAGCGCACAGUACCGCAUGGUACGGUGUGAAAAACUCCGGUGGUGUAAGACGGGCCCGCGUCUGAUUAGUUAGUUGGUGAGGUAAAAGCUCACCAAGGCGACGAUCAGUAGCCGACCUGAGAGGGUGAUCGGCCACAUUGGGACUGAGACACGGCCCAAACUCCUACGGGAGGCAGCAGUGGGGGAUAUUGCACAAUGGAGGGAACUCUGAUGCAGCAAUGCCGCGUGAAGGAAGACGGUUUUCGGAUUGUAAACUUCUAUCAGCAGGGAAGAAAAUGACG
RNAcentral lists this ribosomal RNA (464 nucleotides) under Lachnospiraceae bacterium canine oral taxon 073. Its description in RNAcentral is "bacterial SSU rRNA". It matches the Rfam family "Bacterial small subunit ribosomal RNA", at positions 9 to 456 of the family's 1533-position model. The record is from RNAcentral. Lineage: Bacteria; Bacillati; Bacillota; Clostridia; Lachnospirales; Lachnospiraceae.